Molecule: microRNA, 22 nt
Filed under: Callithrix jacchus (white-tufted-ear marmoset)
Lineage: Eukaryota; Metazoa; Chordata; Mammalia; Primates; Cebidae
Description: cja-miR-383b
Gene: cja-miR-383b
Source: miRBase by way of RNAcentral
AAGUGCUUCGAUUUUGGGGAGC